RNAcentral lists this ribosomal RNA (497 nucleotides) under uncultured bacterium. Its description in RNAcentral is "bacterial SSU rRNA". It matches the Rfam family "Bacterial small subunit ribosomal RNA", at positions 22 to 518 of the family's 1533-position model. The record is from RNAcentral.
GGUCAGGACGAACGCUGGCGGCGUGCCUAACACAUGCAAGUCGAGCGGAGUUGACAAGAGGAAGUUUCGGAUGGAAUCUUGUUAAUUAGCGGCGGACGGGUGAGUAACGCGUGAGCGACCAACCUUGCACAGGGGGAUAACGGACCGAAAGGUUCACUAAUACCGCAUGAGACCACGGUGUUGCAUGACACAGGGGUCAAAGGAGGAAUCCGGUGCAAGACGGGCUCGCGUCCGAUUAGGUAGUUGGAGGGGUAACGGCCCACCAAGCCUAUGAUCGGUAGCCGACCUGAGAGGGUGAUCGGCCACAUUGGAACUGAGAUACGGUCCAAACUCCUACGGGAGGCAGCAGUGGGGAAUAUUGGGCAAUGGGGGAAACCCUGACCCAGCAACGCCGCGUGAAGGAAGAAGGUUUUCGGAUUGUAAACUUCUGUCCUUGGUGAAGAGAAGAAGACGGUAGCCAAGGAGGAAGCCCCGGCUAACUACGUGCCAGCAGCAGC